This 445-nucleotide ribosomal RNA is filed under the name uncultured bacterium. RNAcentral's name for it is "partial 16S ribosomal RNA". It matches the Rfam family "Bacterial small subunit ribosomal RNA", at positions 354 to 796 of the family's 1533-position model. The record is from RNAcentral.
GUGAGGAAUAUUGGUCAAUGGACGGAAGUCUGAACCAGCCAUGCCGCGUGAAGGAUGAAGGCGUUCUGCGUUGUAAACUUCUUUUAUUUAGGAAGAAACCACCGAUUUCUAUUGGUGUUGACGGUAUUAAAUGAAUAAGCACCGGCUAACUCCGUGCCAGCAGCCGCGGUAAUACGGAGGGUGCGAGCGUUAUCCGGAUUUACUGGGUUUAAAGGGUGCGCAGGCGGUCUUAUAAGUCCGGGGUGAAAUACUACAGCUCAACUGUAGAACUGCCUUGGAUACUAUAGGACUUGAAUCGAGUAUAGGUCAGCGGAAUACAACAUGUAGCGGUGAAAUGCAUAGAUAUGUUGUGGAACACCGAUUGCGAAGGCAGCUGACUGGGCUUGAAUUGACGCUCAGGCACGAAAGCGUGGGUAGCGAACAGGAUUAGAAACCCGAGUAGUCC